GAUGAACGCUGGCGGCGUGCCUAAUACAUGCAAGUCGAGCGAACGGACGAGAAGCUUGCUUCUCUGAUGUUAGCGGCGGACGGGUGAGUAACACGUGGAUAACCUACCUAUAAGACUGGGAUAACUUCGGGAAACCGGAGCUAAUACCGGAUAAUAUUUUGAACCGCAUGGUUCAAAAGUGAAAGACGGUCUUGCUGUCACUUAUAGAUGGAUCCGCGCUGCAUUAGCUAGUUGGUAAGGUAACGGCUUACCAAGGCAACGAUGCAUAGCCGACCUGAGAGGGUGAUCGGCCACACUGGAACGGAGACACGGUCCAGACUCCUACGGGAGGCAGCAGUAGGGAAUCUUCCGCAAUGGGCGAAAGCCUGACGGAGCAACGCCGCGUGAGUGAUGAAGGUCUUCGGAUCGUAAAACUCUGUUAUUAGUGAAGAACAUAUGUGUAAGUAACUGUGCACAUCUUGACGGUACCUAAUCAGAAAGCCACGGCUAACUACGUG
This 497-nucleotide ribosomal RNA is filed under the name uncultured bacterium. RNAcentral describes it as "partial 16S ribosomal RNA". It matches the Rfam family "Bacterial small subunit ribosomal RNA", at positions 28 to 507 of the family's 1533-position model. The record is from RNAcentral.